This 365-nucleotide unclassified non-coding RNA is filed under the name Hevea brasiliensis (rubber tree). Lineage: Eukaryota; Viridiplantae; Streptophyta; Magnoliopsida; Malpighiales; Euphorbiaceae. The record is from RNAcentral.
AAGAAUUUUUUCCUUUUUAUUUGAUAAUAAAAAUUAUUACUCUUGAUAUCAGAUAUAGAAUUUGCAAUGUGUUGGAAUUUGAUGUAACAGUAAUGGUUUUGUGAUGUGAUGACAGUAUAAUGUAUAUCAUCUUAACCACUAUGUUAAAUAAAUAUAUCAAUUUACAGGUAAAAAGUAGGGGCAUUACUUGUUCAACAUGAAGCCACUAUUUUAAACUGGAUUCAAAUACCACCAUUAUGCUUGGUCCUAGAGGUUAUGCAUGUUUUAUGGCUUGGAUACGGUCCAUGUACAUUAUAAACAGCUUUAUUAAUAUCAUAGUUUUCACUUUCAAAACUUUUUGGAUCCCAACAAAUGAAGCUGGUUUG